RNAcentral lists this non-coding RNA (100 nucleotides) under Bacillus sp. (in: firmicutes). Its description in RNAcentral is "Bacillus sp. Glycine sequence". It matches the Rfam family "Glycine riboswitch aptamer". From Rfam's summary of the family: This family represents the bacterial glycine riboswitch. Glycine riboswitches usually consist of two metabolite-binding aptamers domains with similar structures in tandem. The record is from RNAcentral. Lineage: Bacteria; Bacillati; Bacillota; Bacilli; Caryophanales; Bacillaceae.
AUGAGAACAAGGGGAGAGCCUGUCCAAAAAUUUGUGGCAGCGCCGAAGGAGCAAGCAGACUAAAUGUGAAUCUCUCAGGCAAAAAGACUCUUGUUGGACG